CCUUUCUUCUUGUCCCACAGGGAAGCUACUUGGCACACACCCAGGGGAAAAAACAUCAGACCAACUUAGCUCGACGAGCUGCCAAAGAAGCCAAAGAGGCCCCAGCUCAGCCUGCUCCAGAAAAGGUGAAGGUGGAAGUGAAGAAAUUUGUGAAAAUUGGCCGGCCAGGAUACAAAGUAACCAAGCAGAGGGACCCAGAAACAGGCCAGCAGAGCCUCCUUUUCCAGGUAAAACACAUAUAAUUUUUAAAAUUUCUUUAAUAAAAAUUACAUGCCAGUAGUCCUCAACUUACAACCCAGUUGCUUAGCGACCAAUUGAAGUUAACGACAGAUUUCUCUUGGGGCUACUUCAGGCAUUGACAGCCAUUUGCAGCAUUCUGUGAUGACAUGAUUUGAGUUUACGGUGGUUUUGCCAAAAGCUGGCAUUUAUUUCUGGUUCACCAUUGUUCAUUCAACAACUGCAGCACUCGCUUCACCGCUGCAGAAAAGGUGGUAAAAUAUGGCCAGUCAAGUGACCGACCUGUUUUACGGCCAUCAU
Non-coding RNA from Notechis scutatus (mainland tiger snake), 537 nucleotides. NCBI's taxonomy places the organism in Eukaryota, Metazoa, Chordata, Lepidosauria, Squamata, Elapidae. The record is from RefSeq and is a predicted model, not a curated record.